This is a small nucleolar RNA of Tachyglossus aculeatus (Australian echidna), 138 nucleotides long. The record is from RefSeq and is a predicted model, not a curated record. Lineage: Eukaryota; Metazoa; Chordata; Mammalia; Monotremata; Tachyglossidae.
CCCCUCUCAGAAUCGCACCUGGAGAGUUUCCAGUGCUCUACAAGUCUUGGCUUUGGGAGGGAGAGUCAAUCAGAGGCAUACCCUUUCCAUUCCUAGCUUGGGCAGUGGCUAGAGAGUGGAAGGUAAUCUACUACAAGU